This 465-nucleotide ribosomal RNA is filed under the name uncultured bacterium. RNAcentral's name for it is "partial 16S ribosomal RNA". It matches the Rfam family "Bacterial small subunit ribosomal RNA", at positions 28 to 507 of the family's 1533-position model. The record is from RNAcentral.
GACGAACGCUGGCGGCGUGCUUAACACAUGCAAGUCGAACGGAAAGGCCCUGCUUGCAGGGUACUCGAGUGGCGAACGGGUGAGUAACACGUGGGUGAUCUGCCCUGCACUUCGGGAUAAGCCUGGGAAACUGGGUCUAAUACCGGAUAGGAGCCAUUUUUAGUGGGAUGGUUGGAAAGUUUUUUCGGUGUAGGAUGAGCUCGCGGCCUAUCAGCUUGUUGGUGGGGUAAUGGCCUACCAAGGCGGCGACGGGUAGCCGGCCUGAGGGGGUGGACGGCCACAUAGGGACGGAGAGACGGCCCAGACUCCUACGGGAGGAAGCUGUGGGGAAGAUUGCACAAGGGGCGCAGGCCUGGUGAAGCGACGCCGCGUGGGGGAUGGCGGCCUUCAGGUUGUAAACUCCUUUCGCUAGAAACGAAGCUUUUUGUGACGGUACCUAGAUAAGAAGCACCGGCUAACUACGUG